UAUUUGGUUAUUUAAUCCCAGUCAUCACAACUGUCAGCAGUGUAUCUCCUAGGGUCCUACUGCAUGGUUGCUGUCUGCCCAGUUUUUGGGUACAUAGUGACCAGACCCUGCCAAAGUCCUCUGUAAAGGGAGAAAAGGAUUUGCAUUGAAGUCACAUGUGAGGCAAAGACUCUCAUCACUAUCGACUUGCUUUCCCAGUUCUACUGACCUCAACCAGACUUGGAGUUGAAGAAAAACCAACAGUUUAACUGUUGUAAAGGGGCAACAGCGUAACAAUGAUAUGAUAUUCUCCCCAUAAAACUAAAGAGUAUUACUUAAAGAUCUAAAAGCAAUGAGGAAAUACAAUAUAACUAGUAUACAAAAAAUAAAGUUAGCAACAUUGUAGCUUUCCUUGUAUCACGAAGCACAAACUCAAAUGCCUGAUAGACAACCCAAGUUCAUGACUGCACCUCAUUCAGGGAUAAUGCUCACAGUAGCAAAACUACGUAAAAUAAAAUUUAACAACAAACACAUAGAAUUUAUAUGUUGAAAACUAUGAAAGCUAAGUAAAGAAAAGUACAGUAUGUUCCAAGAUUAUCUGGACAAUAAGUAAGUGAUACUACAUUAAAACAUUUAGAACAAUGAGAUAAGGAGAGAGGACUUCUGCUAUUGCUAUUGGUAAGAUACGAAAAUAUAUGUGAUAGUUAUGGCAAUUUAAAGGGUAGGUUUCUGUUUCAUUUCAUGGACUAGAUACGUCAUUAGAAAACAGAAAUAUAUAGAAGUGUGCAUAACAUUUUACCCUGUCAUUCAGUCAUUCACUCAAAAACUAAUGCUGUAAGCAUAUCCUCAUUACAACAGUAAUAGUGAUCAUAGUGGACAAAUCAGAAAAACGGACAAGAAAGCCAGACCUGAUGGCACACACCAGCAAUCCCAGCACACAAAGAUUGCUCUGAGUGAGGCCAGCCUGGGCUAUGUGAGUUCAAGGUCAGCCUACAUGAUACUGUGAGACCCUGUCUCCAAUGUGUGUGUGUGUGUGUGUAUGUGUGUGUGUUGUAUGCAUUCUGGUGGAAGAGAGAGUGCAAAAAUUAUCGAAAAUUAACAUGAAAAAAAAAGAAAAUUCAAGUAGGAUGAUUUCAAUGUAACAUUAGAAAGGGACAUUUAAAUUUGAAAAAUGAAUGGCUACAAGGGAUGAGCCAAAUUAUCAAGCUUACAUGGUCAAGACACAGAAAGAUCACCAGCAUGGGUGGAGUAGAGGGUAAUGGGAUGAUUACGACAGCAGGUUGAAAGGAGUUAGAUCUUGCAAAGCUUUGAUGCCAAGAUAAAGGAUUUGGAUUUUAUUUUUUUUUAAACUCAAUUGAAACUUUGGGAGGUUUCUAAGCAGAAAGUGACAUAAUCUAAUCUAUAAUUCAUAAAGAUCACUCCAGUUUCAAUUCAUGGAAUGAAUUGCAAGGAGGGCAGAACAAAAGCAGUCGAUGCAGUUUGAAAUUGAUCAGAGAUAAAAGUGGCUGGACUAUGGGGGAUUCUGAAUAUGUGGAUGGAUUUAAGGUGUGUUUUGGAGGAAGAAACAAAAAGAAUUAUAUUGAGAUAUUGAGGAAGAGAAAGGGACCAAGACUAAAGGAAUUGCUAAAUGACUUUAGGAAGACUGAAGGAAGAUCAGGAUUGCUGUUAGUAUGGAGAACCAAGUUUCAAAUAUAGUAAGCUUUAGGUGUUUUUCAGAAAUAAGAAGUGGGCAGUGGGCUAUGCAAAUAUGCAAAUAUAUGGUUCUCAGAUAGCAAAGUAAGCUCAAGACUUCUGUUUCAGGCAAAAUCAGUGUAUUGAUGUUUGAAGGCAAGGCACAGACAAAAGGGUUAAAGAAUCAAAGGCAUUCUGCAAAGCUGCUCUGCAAACUUUAGCUUCAGAGGGCAGACCAACGGAGAGCAAGACACAAAAAAACAGCGAAGAAGCAGCUGGUGAGACGGGAGAAAAUUGGCCAGACCUUAAAGCAGAGAAAAAAGAGUAUUUCAUGGAGGCCAGAAUAUUUCAGUUGUGCCAAAUCUUGAGAAUUCAUAUAAGAACAAAAAAUGAAAGUGAUUGCCUAGCUUGAAAACAACAAGGUGAGUGAUGUUGGUGUAUGUAAGAUUCCUACUGAAGAAGAGGUGAGAAGUGGAGACCAGCACUUUUGAAAACCUUUUCAGCAACUAAAAUGUCAUUUCAACCAUUUCAAUACAAAAUAACCAUUACAUUUGUUAAAACUGACAGUGCAAAUCCACUGGGAGAAGAAAGAUUAUUUCAUAAAUGAUCUUUGUAUGAUUUAUUACUUAUUUGGGAAGAAACUGUUUGAAUUUUUACAAAAGAAGUAGAGAGAGAAAUCAAUAGUAUAACAAGCCCUUCUCUAAAUGGAGUUAUUUUAUUCUGUAUUGUAGUUACACAUUUUUUUCAUAAUAGGCUUAUUUUUAAUGAAAAAUAUUAAUAUCUCUUUUUGACAACCACUUAUUUUAACAGACCACUGGAUUCAAAACUUAAUUAAUUCAAAAUGCAACAAUCUAUUGGCUUUGCAUUGGUAGUCUGCAGUACAUAUAGAAAGGUGUGACACGUGAGAAUAGUGAGUUUUAGCACGCGGUGGGCAAGGUGAAUGUUGUAAGUGAAAUACGAAGCACCUCGGAGAGAAGUCAAAAGAAGGGCUUAUAACUCCAGGGUACUGAUUAGGGCUUCAGGGAAAACUCUAUACAUGAAAAGAAUUGAUGAAGGGAAUUGACAUGAAAAAUAGGUCAUUAUAAAAAACAUCAUUGGAGUGGUAAAGCAGAACUUACCUACCCGUCAUUGAAUAGAUUUGUGGGGGAAAUACACAGGAUGUUUUGGCCAACCCAUGGUUACAACAAGAGUAUUUCCAUGCAGUUAGAAGUGGGUGACUGACUAAGAAAGCAGCGAUCCCUCCUUCCUGGUAAGUGGCAGCGUGAGUGAGCAGGGGAUAGAACAAGUCAGUGCUCCCUGUGAGCUUACCGCCCCCUUCCCCUCCUUCCCCGCAGUUAGCAACUAGACAGUGUUGAGGACAGCUGGACUUGAUAGCAACUAAGGCACAUAAAGCAACUAAAUUCUUGGAUUGUUGGGUUGAUUAUGCUGACCUGGAGCCAGAGGUCUGAGCAUCUCUUGGGAGUAUGACCAUACACAAUAUAGCAAAUAUGGGGGAUUUUCUUCCACCUUCUCGUUGAAGGCAAAUAUUGUUUUCACUGUUUGGCUUUGUUCUGAUUAAUUGCUUUGCUCUAUUUAAUAUUCUCUUUUGAUAGGUUUUAUAAUGUUCUAUUUUUGGUUUGAUUUUGCUAUAUGUGAUUGAAUGGACAACUAUUGUAAAGAUAAGUUAUACUAUUGUACCUACUCCUGUUAUCCUGGUAACCUGCUGUGAAGUUCUAUACCAAUUUCACUGCAUUGUCUCCAUUGGCUUUGUUUUGUCUUGUUCUGUUGUAUUUUACUACCUUCAAAAAAAUUUUAAAGAAAAAGAAGUGGAGAAAGCCCAGGAGGCUCCCCUUGCUUACCCCCAGGUGUUCUUGCUUAUUUAAAUAGAGAAUAAGCAGGCAGUCUGUAUAGCUCGGAAUAUGUAAAUUGUGUGGCAUCUGUAUUUCUAGUCACUGUAGGAAAUCACUAUCAGCUAUUCAUGGCCAUGGAUUCUUUUUGGAUCCUGUGUCCAGAGCUCAAGUAGCUUGUCUAAGUCCAUUUAGGGAUGCUUAUCUCCGAUUAAGUUAAAAGAAUUGUGGUUAGUGAAAGAGGUUAGGGUUAGAAAAUGGAGACUUCAGGACUGGGAUUGGGUGGAGACACCACUUCCCUGUGUGACACAGUGCCUAUGAAUGCUGUGGAUUUUUGAGUUUUACUGCGUUAAUCUGUUGCUCAAGUUGAAGCCCACCUGGUACUGCAUGAGAAGGUUUUGAGUUUCUGCCUUUGACUCAGUGCUGGAUGUGAGGAACACUUCUUUAAAACACUUCUUUAAAACAAGUGUUUUCUGGCUAUGAAGGAGUAAAAAGAAAAAACAAAAUAUAUGAUGAACAAGCAGUGAUUCAAACUUCUACCUCUGUCUGGCUCAGAAAUGAUGACUCUUGACUAUUGCUAUCUGGCUUUCCACAUAGACUCUAGGCAAAGAGAAAUGAUCUGAUGAGGACAGUGCAUGACCAUAUUGAUUCUUUGAGGAAACCAUGAAGUUACCAGUUUGUACUUAGCCCCAGAAAAAGUUUGCUCAUCUCCUUGUGUUCUUACCCUCAGACAGAGACUGACAUAUGUUUCUCAUGAUCCCGGUUUAAAAAAUACAUUUCUCAUUUUAGCUCUCAGACUAUCUAGUGGUUCGUUUCAAGAUUUAUCAAACUUCGUCAGUUCAUAACCUGAAGCCAAUACCAACAAGAUGUUUGGGUGUUUUUAGUACAUUUAUAUAUUUAGAACCUUCAUUAUAUAACUUGUUCUUUCUUCUCAUUGACAGAAAGCCUUAGUUUUUUUUUUUUUUUUGGUUUGUUUUUUGGGGUUUUUUUUUUUCCUCUUUGUACCAUGAAUUAAAUUCAGGACCUUGUGCUUACCAGGCAGGCGCUUAUGCUGCUUAGCUAUAACCCCAGUGAAAGCCUCAUUUUCUGCUUAUAUUUCCCUUUACUUAACUUUAUUUUAUGCAAAUAGAUGAUUACUUGACUUCAUUUUCCAUUUCAUUUCAGAUGUUGAGCUCUAAGCAAAACACAACAGGAGCCUAGUUCCAUCUCAAUUCCAAAUUCAAUUAAUGUGCUUCUUCAUUAGAUGAAGGAGAUGCCACCUGAGCACGUGGCAUCUGUUUGAACCAUACUUUCUUUCCCUUCUUCUAGCUGUCAUCUUUUUUCUCUCUAACCACCCUGGCUAAUUUUUAUUCUGAUGUCUAAUAUGCACCUUGGGCUAUUUGCUGGGCUUACUCAGACUUUCUGUCAGAAUCAGCCUUCCUCUUCUCUCUGUCAUCUCCUCUGAUCUUCCAAGGGGAAUAGCAAGCUCAUUUGCAUACUUCUGUGCAGCCUGGCCACAAAAACCAUAGAUGCAAAUCAGCAGCAAAUCACUACAUGCAUAGUCUUUUCACUCAGUGUUUAACAUACCCUAUAGAACCAUGUUUCUCCAAACCAUCAGUUUCAAAAUGAUUUGUGAUCAAGAUCUUUUUCAACAACUUUCAGAGAAGACCAAAGUUAAAAAUUCAUAUUUACUUGGAACUUACCCUCAUGGCUUCAGCAUGCCUUUUCUCUCUGAUUCUCAUGUAGUACCACAAAUUCGCCUCUGUUCUAGGCACAAAAGAACCUCUUAUUGACAGAGAUCCAUACUCCAUGUAUUCUUACUUGUGCUUUCUAAUUCAUACUUAACAUUUGACCAACCAUAUGUUUCUCUUCAUCCAGGGAAGUUUUGCCUUAUAAACAAUAUGUUUUUAAUAUUAUACAAUAAAUGCAUAGUAAUACACUAAGAAAAUAAAGAAAAGCUCCAGUGACAAGUAUAGGAUAAUUUGUAAUCUCUCAAUUUUUUAAUUGACUUAUACUUUUUUAGGCCUUUUUAUUAUAGUAACACAAUACUCCUUUUCAUUCAACAAUUGAUAUUUUUCCAUAUCAAUAAAUAUUAUACUACAAUACAUUAACAGUGCAAACAUUAGUAUUCACAUUACACAAUGUACAAUGCACUCUAAUUUAACAAACUAUAGCCCCUUUGUUGAGCAUUGAGGCUGUUCGCAGUUUACUCACAUCAUUAAUACUUCAUUGAGCAUCUCUACUCACCCAGUUUUCUGUGCAUUUUAACUCUGUCAAGUCACUGCUUUUUCAUGGAUUCAAGUUCCAUACUGUCCCCUCUAUUGUUCCCAUUUGCUUUACUAGUUAAAUGGGAAAGUAUUUUUAGACUAAUGUUUAUCUUUUUCAACUUGACCAUCCCUUUUUUGGAGGUAUACCCUGAGAUUAUUUAAAGUCAUCUCCAAGAUUUCACACAAAUUUCCCUAAUAGCUAUCUCCUGUUGUAGUAUACCUAUCCAAAAUUGCAUAAUGACAUGCUGGAAUUUUAAAGCUCCCUCUUCAUAAGCAUUCAUUCUUAUGACAAACAUGAAUUUUCUACUCACAGCACAUCUAGCAACAAAUAUUUAUUGGUUUUCCCUACAUCGUGCAAUUCUCUAGUUCUCUGUAGACACCAACUGAUGUCCAGUAAUUGAGUUCUGACACUGGUUACCCAGAGUUAGUAUUAGAUCCCACCCAUGAAGGCUUCAGCCCCUAACAAGUGUCCCUCAUAUGACUCCAAGAGCAAAUAGUGUGUUUCCAGGUUACCCACAGUUAUGUCCAACUUGUAUACAAAUUAGUGGUUUGCAAAACUCCCUCCUCAGGAGCACUAAUUUGCUAAAAUGGUUCAUAGACUUUAGGAAAACAUGAUUAUUCAUUUAUUAUAGAAAAUUACAAAAUUUACAAAUGAAUAUACAGAAGAUGAAGUAAUAUAUUGGAUAAAGUCCAGAGAGUUCAAAAUGCAAAACCUUCUAUCUCUACAGAUCUGGGGUGAAUUGUCCUCCAGAACAUCAUAUGAAUACAUAUUCAUCAACCCAGGAGCUCUCCACACCCCUUUAUUUCUGAAGGUUAUGUUAUAAGACAUAAUUUAUUAAAUCAUUGGUGAUUAAAUUUAACCUCCAUCCUCUUUCCUAUUCCCAGAAGUUAGGAGUUGUGACUAAAAAUGUCCAACCCUCUAAUCACAUAGUUGUUUCAUAUGGCCAUCGGCCUCCAUUCUAAAGCUAUCCAGGGGCUUUUAGCCACCGUAAUUUCAUUAAGAUACAAAAGGCUCUCUCAUCACUUUGGUGAUUCCAGGGGCCUUAGAAGUUCUUGUGUCAAGAACCAAUAGCAAAUGCUCUAAGCAUAUUUCUUCUUAUAUCACAGUUAUCAAGGGUACUUAUACCUUUAAGUAUUAGUAACCAUAACAAAAAUGGGCUUACAUGAGAAUUUUGCCUACACUAGAUCCUGUCCAUUACUUAGAACUCAUUCCAGGAUGUCUUUUCUACAUGUAUUCAAGAGUUUUUACACCAAGAGGUUUUUACAUCCACACCUUGUCUCAAUUCUCUUCAAUUUGCAUGCAUAUCUUGCAGCCUCCCAAAUGUUGUUUAAUAUUUCAGGCUUGUCUUGUUUCUUGUUUGUUUUGUUUCAUUUGUGUUAUAGUUUUAUAGUGUAAUACAUUCUCAUUACACCCAUUUUUUAUUGUUUCAGUAUGGAAGCCGCUCAAGGAUAUGUUAUAAUAUUGCCUUUUAUCUCAUGGGUCAUUAAAUAUUUGCUUUGCACACAUUGGGCACAAAACACAGAACUCUCUUUAACUCUGCAAAUAAAGAGACUAGAGGGAUUCAAAUACUGCUGUGUUACUCAGAUGAACCCAUGCAUGAUACUACUCCACUCCCUACUGUCAUCUACCAAAAGACUUAUUAGUACAAAAUACCAAAGCAAGGAAUUUAUGUCUCAAGUAUGUAUACUCAGAACCAUCAUGUUUCUCCCUCUAAGUUAUUCUUCCUAUGUCAGUUAAAAAUGUUUUCUAACUCCCUCUUGCAGUAUCGUAAUUACCUAUUAUUAGUUUGAAUGUUUAUAAAAAUCAACUGAGAUUUUAAAUACCCCAUGUCUGGGCUUUUCCCUAAAUCAAUUGAAUCUGAACUACCAGGAACUGGUCCCAUGCAAAGUUAUUAUUCAAAAAUAUUCCAGAAAUGUCUAACAUUUAUUCUGUACAGACAGGUACUCAGUGUUGAACAAAGCAGUUCAACUAUGGCCCUCCAAGACUUUGAGAAAAAUCAGUAAGUUCUGUACUGAUGGUUCUUAAUCUUUACCAAACAUUAGAAACAAUGAGGGGCUUUUAAAAAUUCUGAUGACAAGGUCACCCUCAAGAACAGAUAAAAAUCUCAAAGGCAUAAGUCAAAUUUUUAUUCUCAAAGUUACCUCAAAACACAAUCACAUUUAAGAAUUAGUGGUCUGUACCCCUCCAAUUCAAAGUAUGGUCUAUGAUCCAAAGCAUUAGCAUGGCCUGGGAGUUGUUAGAACAGGCAUGUUGGAUCCACCCCGUCUGCAGAUGGUUUUGUCAUACUAAAGUUUUAAAGGCACUGUUCAAGUUACAAGGGAGCAACUCUAUGAUUUGUUUUGCAAAAGUAUCUCAGUAUUUUUGGAGAGAUGCACACCCUUGCUAGUUUUGGUUUUAAAUGCCUGUUGUAAUUUCUUUUGCUCCUGAUCUUAUACAUAUUUGGUGACUAUAAAACUUUGAAGUAAAAUAUCCUACUAAGUGAGAUGUGAGGGAGGCAAACGUCUUCAUGCUCUUCAUCUAAAAAUGAAAUGGCACCCUAAAUAUGAAGUGUGAAUUGCUUGGUGACACACUGACACCCUGAGGUGUAGGAGGAAAGGCAGUAGCCACAGUGCUCCACUCGAUGUGGGAACAGUGGGGCUCCCUGAUGGUACGAUCACACCAGAGCCUCCUCUUGCACUCCAAGAGCAGCAACCUCCUUGUGAAGAGGUAGUUGCUCUUAGCACAGGUAAAGACCUGUUAAGUAACAUUUCCACUUAGGUUGGGUCAGUCAGCAUUGAAGCAGCUUUCUAGACAUGAAAUUUUGGAAUUUGCAUUAAUUCCUUCAGUAUCAUGACUGAGAAAUGGGUACUGAGUAAGAGCUGUUAGGGAUUUCGGUUAAAGUCUGGAAAGAUUGUUUUUUCAGUUCUCCCUGUCUCUCGAGUUCACUGCCUCACCCUUUACCCAAGGAUUGUCCUUUGCCUUUAUGCAACUACGUUAUGCUCUGCACAACCAGCUGUUCCUAGCACACACCCACACACGCACACGUGCAUAAUGGACUCCUUUUUUUCCUUCCUACAAAUAUUUCUCUCAGGUAAUGAUGGAAUGUUGAAGAAAAAGACCUUGUAAGAGCCAGUGUAAUAAUUAAUGUAGCUAAUACUGCUGAGUUCUUUUGAUGUGCCAAGUACUUAAUGAGCAAUGCUUCAUUUAACUUUUAUACCAAACAUCUGAAUUUAUAUCAUUAUUUGCAUUUUACAGGUGAAAAAAACUAAGUGGUGUAAGACAAAAAUGCUUGUUUUAGCACAAAAAGUAUGUCUCCAGGGUUUAUAUGCUUACUAUCUACACAGAAAUAGCUUUCUAAGUGAGGCUCUCUUGAAAAAAAUGAGGAACUUAAAUUUAUUGUGAAAAUUACAAGCAAAAAAGAAAUGUACAAUAAUUCAAUAAACUCUCAUGUGUCUAAUACCUAGA
Molecule: long non-coding RNA, 9167 nt
Organism: Cavia porcellus (domestic guinea pig)
Lineage: Eukaryota; Metazoa; Chordata; Mammalia; Rodentia; Caviidae
Exons: 2
Source: RefSeq, a predicted model, not a curated record